RNAcentral lists this unclassified non-coding RNA (805 nucleotides) under Paragonimus westermani. Its description in RNAcentral is "partial miscellaneous RNA". Lineage: Eukaryota; Metazoa; Platyhelminthes; Trematoda; Plagiorchiida; Troglotrematidae. The record is from RNAcentral.
UCGGUGGCUUUCUUUUUAGGAAGUGUAGUUUAUCGUUAGAAUGCUGCUUUUGUAAAGCAGCGGUGUGAUCUUGUGACUUCUUUAGCCUUGAGGUUGUGGUGAAUCUUGUGUUUAGUGGGUGUCGUACCUUUUGCAUCAUGAUUCCUUGAAAGAGUUCGGUUAGUCUGGCGUCUCGAAAGGCGGUGAUUCGGGUUUGCCUUGUUUUUAGAACUUAGGGGUUGGUGGGCAACCAAAGUUGAAAGGUAGGUCCGGAGGCGACAUGCAUUACGUACCGUCUGAUAGCUAGUUGGCGGAGUCUAGUUUUCGAACUGUGGCCCUGUUGCUUUGAUGUGGUGGGGUUGUCAAGAGGGCUUUUUGGGUUGAUGAGUUAGUUAGGUUAGAGGUACCUUGUUUUAGCUUCGUGUUAUGACGAUUGACUCGAAUUGUUUGGGCUUUUUGGUUUAGUGCUCUGGACUUAGGCGUAACGGUCUGUUUUCAAGUGUGAGGUAAUGAGUAGUUUGAAUAGUUUCCUUUUUUCUCGGAGAUCUUCGGUCUGUUUCUCAAAAACAUUUCCAUCAGGAAGGUUUGAUGGUAGUGCCUGCCCGAUGUUUGCAAUCAAUGGCCGCAGUAUCUUGACUGUGCUAAGGUAGCAUAAUCAGUUGCCUUGUAAUUGAAGGAUUGUUUGAACGGUUUGACCAGGGGAUGCGUCUAGGUGGAGGCUAUCUCUGAAGUUAGGUGGCUGGUGCAGAUCCCAGCGAUUUUUAAUCAGACGGAAAGACCCCGAGAGCUUUGGCAGUUUUGUGCUUACUUGGGGGCAAGGGCAAAU